CUGUUAGCCACUCUAGCACUGAGCACUCAAGAGGCAGACAUAGACUAGGAGGUCCACUGGCUUCUGGACCAAGGUCUCACUAUGUUGCUUGCCCCAGUUGAUAGUGGAACCAUAAGCUCCAGCAAUCGAUCCUCCUGCCUCAGCCUCCUGAGUAGAUGGGGUUACAGAUAGAAAUGACUGUGGGAGCUCAGAAAGCUGAGGCAGGAGGAUUGCUUGAGUCCAGGAUUUUUGGCAUCAGCCUGGGACGCACAAGAAGACCUUAAAACAAAACGGAAGUAAUGUGACGUUAUUCCACAGAACUUUGACUAUGCUAACGGUAGAAUGAAGCCACAAGUGUAGUAUUUUGUUAUUAUCCCAAUGCAGCCUCAUUUUAUAGGAGACUAGAUGUUAUAAAUGAGGUCAUAAAUAAAAGAAAAUGGC
Molecule: long non-coding RNA, 420 nt
Filed under: Cricetulus griseus (Chinese hamster)
Lineage: Eukaryota; Metazoa; Chordata; Mammalia; Rodentia; Cricetidae
Description: lncRNA (ENSCGRG00015038868.1)
Source: RNAcentral